GAGCCUCUUCCCCAGACUUCAGCAGGAACGGUAUCUUCCCACAGGUGUGGUGAGAACUGCUUGAGCUGUGCAGGCUCCAGCAGGAACUGUAGCAGGUGUAAGACGGGCUUCACACAGCUGGGGACCUCCUGCAUCACCAACCACACGUGCAGCAACGCUGACGAGACAUUCUGCGAGAUGGUGAAGUCCAACCGGCUGUGCGAACGGAAGCUCUUCAUUCAGUUCUGCUGCCGCACGUGCCUCCUGGCCGGGUAAGGGUGUCUAGCUGCCCACAGAGGGCAGGCACUCCCAUCCAUCCAUCCGUCCACUUUCCUCCAGACUGUCGGCCAGAGUCUGUUUCAGGAGCGGCGCCCUGCACCUGACAGCUUUAUCUCGCCAGGAGCAGCAUCUCUGGGCACCCAAGCCAGGUGGGUGGUGGCUCUUAAGGAGGUGUUCCUACAAUGGUGACAUCCUCUCAAAUGCUGCUUGUUGGCUCCAGUCUUCUGACAAACUGUAACAGGAACAAAAUGAAUUCUGGGAAUCCACAGCUCUGGCUUUGGAGCAGCUUCUGGGACCAUAAGUUUACUGAAUCUUCAAGACCAAAGCAGAAAAGAAAGGCGCUUGGCAUCACACAUCACUCUUCUCCCCGUGCUUUUCUGCGGCUGUGUAGUAAAUCUCCCCGGCCCAGCUGGCAAACCCUGGGCCAUCCUCACAUGUGACAAAGGGCCAGCAGUCUACCUGCUCGUUGCCUGCCACUGAGCAGUCUGGGCACGGUUUGGUCAGACUAUAAAUAAGAUAGGUUUGAGGGCAUAAAAUGUAUGACCACUGGGGCCGGAGUAUCUAUUUCUACAUAGUCAGCUACUUCUGAAACUGCAGCAGUGGCUUAGAAAGUCCAAUUCCAAAGCCAGACCAGAAGAUUCUAUCCCCGCAGCAUUCUCCUUUGAGCAAGCCGAGCUCUCCUUGUUACCGUGUUCUGUCUGUGUCUUCAGGAGUCUCAUGGCCUGAACGACCACCUCGACCUGAUGCAGAGCCUUCUGAGGAGGGGCAACAGGAGGCAUUCUGUGGCCAGCCAAAAGGUACCCCGAUGGCCAAGCAAUUCCUCUGAACAAAAUGUAAAGCCAGCCAUGCAUUGUUAAUCAUCCAUCACUUCCCAUUUUAUGGAAUUGCUUUUAAAAUACAUUUGGCCUCUGCCCUUCAGAAGACUCGUUUUUAAGGUGAAAGCUCCUGUGUCUGUGUAUAUUACGAGCCUACAUGACACAGUUGGAUUUAUUCUGCCAAACCUGUGUAGGCAUUUUAUAAGCUACAUGUUCUAAUUUUUACCGAUGUUAAUUAUUUUGACAAAUAUUUCAUAUAUUUUCAUUGAAAUGCACAGAUCUGCUUGAUCAAUUCCCUUGAAUAGGGAAGUAACAUUUGCCUUAAAUUUUUUCGACCUCAUCUUUCUCCAUAUUGUCCCGCUCCCCUGUUUGACGACAGUGCAUUUGCCUUGUCACCUGUGAGCUGGAGAGAACCCAGAUGUUGUUUAUUGAAUCUACAACUCUGAAAGAGAAAUCAAUGAAGCAAGUACAAUGUUAACCCUAAAUUAAUAAAAGAGUUAACAUCCCAUGG
RNAcentral lists this long non-coding RNA (1584 nucleotides) under Pan troglodytes (chimpanzee). RNAcentral describes it as "long non-coding RNA NONPTRT005818". Lineage: Eukaryota; Metazoa; Chordata; Mammalia; Primates; Hominidae. The record is from RNAcentral.